This 425-nucleotide ribosomal RNA is filed under the name uncultured bacterium. RNAcentral describes it as "bacterial SSU rRNA". It matches the Rfam family "Bacterial small subunit ribosomal RNA", at positions 354 to 796 of the family's 1533-position model. The record is from RNAcentral.
GUGGGGAAUAUUGGACAAUGGGCGCAAGCCUGAUCCAGCCAUGCCGCGUGAGUGAUGAAGGCCUUAGGGUUGUAAAGCUCUUUCAGUAGGGAAGAUAAUGACGGUACCUACAGAAGAAGCCCCGGCUAACUUCGUGCCAGCAGCCACGGUAAUACGAAGGGGGCUAGCGUUGUUCGGAUUUACUGGGCGUAAAGCGCACGUAGGCGGUUUGUUAAGUCAGGGGUGAAAUCCCACAGCUCAACUGUGGAACUGCCCUUGAUACUGGCAAGCUAGAGUCCGGAAGAGGUGAGUGGAACUCCUAGUGUAGAGGUGGAAUUCGUAGAUAUUAGGAAGAACACCAGUGGCGAAGGCGGCUCACUGGUCCGGUACUGACGCUGAGGUGCGAAAGCGUGGGGAGCAAACAGGAUUAGAUACCCUAGUAGUCC